GCCAGUGAAUUGUAAUACGACUCACUAUAGGGCGAAUUGGGCCCUCUAGAUGCAUGCUCGAGCGGCCGCCAGUGUGAUGGAUAUCUGCAGAAUUCGCCCUUCAGGCCUAACACAUGCAAGUCGAACGCCCUCUUCGGAGGGAGUGGCAGACGGGUGAGUAACACGUGGGAACGUGCCCGAAGGUACGGAACAACUCCGGGAAACUGGAGCUAAUACCGUAUGUGUCCGCAAGGAGAAAGAUUUAUCGCCUUCGGAUCGSCCCGCGUCAGAUUAGCUAGUUGGUGGGGUAAAAGCCUACCAAGGCGACGAUCUGUAGCUGUUCUUAUGAGGAGGAAGACCAGCCACACUGGGACUGAGACACGGACCAGACUCCUACGGGAGGCAGCAGUGGGGAAUCUUGGACAAUGGGCGCAAGCCUGAUCCAGCCAUGCCGCGUGGAUGACGAAGGCCUUAGGGUUGUAAAAUCCUUUCAGCGGGGACGAUAAUGACG
This 490-nucleotide ribosomal RNA is filed under the name uncultured bacterium. RNAcentral's name for it is "partial 16S ribosomal RNA". The stretch from base 71 to 490 matches the Rfam family "Bacterial small subunit ribosomal RNA", at positions 1 to 456 of the family's 1533-position model. The record is from RNAcentral.